This is a small nuclear RNA of Anoplopoma fimbria (sablefish), 187 nucleotides long. RefSeq annotates it as U2 spliceosomal RNA. The record is from RefSeq and is a predicted model, not a curated record. Lineage: Eukaryota; Metazoa; Chordata; Actinopteri; Perciformes; Anoplopomatidae. The transcript has a single exon.
AGUGUUGUUGUGUUAUUUGAUUUGAACAAAGGUUUGAAGGUAAUACAGUUUAAUAUCUGAUAUGUCCUCUAUAUGAGGAUAACUUAUUAAGCAGAUUUUUAGCACUGGGAGAUGAAAAAGGGGCUUGCUCCGUUCACUCCACGCAUUGACCUGGUAUUGCAGCAUCGCCAGGAACGGUGCACCCUUC